AUGUCAAGGCUGGGGCAUUUUCUAAAAAAAUUCUUGAACCUUUCCCAUGCCUCUAGAUAGCUCUCGAGAUCUUUCUACUUGAAGGUGGACAUCAUUUGUGAUUU
RNAcentral lists this small nucleolar RNA (104 nucleotides) under Olea europaea subsp. europaea. RNAcentral describes it as "Plant small nucleolar RNA R71". It matches the Rfam family "Plant small nucleolar RNA R71". Rfam says of the family: R71 is a member of the C/D box family of snoRNAs containing the C (UGAUGA) and D (CUGA) box motifs. Multiple nearly identical copies of this snoRNA have been identified in Arabidopsis, and it is thought to function as a 2'-O-ribose methylation guide for 18S ribosomal RNA. Lineage: Eukaryota; Viridiplantae; Streptophyta; Magnoliopsida; Lamiales; Oleaceae. The record is from Rfam by way of RNAcentral.